Molecule: regulatory RNA element, 38 nt
Organism: Pluralibacter gergoviae
Lineage: Bacteria; Pseudomonadati; Pseudomonadota; Gammaproteobacteria; Enterobacterales; Enterobacteriaceae
Rfam family: JUMPstart RNA
Source: Rfam
CGCGGACGGGUAGCUGUUGAGCCCGGGGCGGUAGCGUG